AUUAUGAAUGAAUGUCGAGAAGGUUGUAGUGGCCUUUUGGGGAUGUGACCCUUGAUGACAUCCACCUCCAAGCUGUGCUUAUGUGUAGCUUGGGAUGAUUACAUGGAGAAUGAUGUUGAAGGGCAUUUAUGAAUUUUUUAUAUAUAAACCCCUAUAGCAAGUUAUAGAAAGGGAUAAUGUUAUACCCUGUAAUAAUAAAAAUAUAUAACAAUUUCAGCCACGGAUUCUUGGCUCUCGCUAGAUGAAGAAGGCGCAAAUGCGAUAAGUAAUGUGAAUUGCAGAAUUCGUGAAUCAUCCGAAUCUUUGAACGCAUCUUGAACGCCUUGGUAUUCCGAGGAGUAUGCCUGUUUGAGUGUCAUGAAAUUUCCCAGUGGCGUCUAGCUUUUUAGGUAAGGGGGAGGUUGGAGUUCGAACAUUAUUUUCUCACUAACAAAUAAAAUUGCCUGGUGGGCUCCUCCAAAUAAAUGAGCUCUUUCGGGAGAGAUCCUACCUCCGUAACCUUAUUGGGAUAGUAUUUACCUAGGUGUGAAGGCUGUAGUUAGAGUAACUACAUUAUGGAGACUUCCUAUGAGAAAGGGAGGUCUGGCGAUAAAUCACGCCUGACUAGGAGAGAUGACAUCCGACUCCAAUGCGGUGAGGACUACCUCGUUGAACUAGAUAUCAUGAGGGCGAGGAA
RNAcentral lists this small RNA (676 nucleotides) under Pseudotomentella sp. 114. RNAcentral describes it as "eukaryotic LSU rRNA". The stretch from base 209 to 358 matches the Rfam family "5.8S ribosomal RNA". The record is from RNAcentral. Lineage: Eukaryota; Fungi; Basidiomycota; Agaricomycetes; Thelephorales; Thelephoraceae.